Prunus avium (sweet cherry) is the source of this 676-nucleotide non-coding RNA. Lineage: Eukaryota; Viridiplantae; Streptophyta; Magnoliopsida; Rosales; Rosaceae. The record is from RefSeq and is a predicted model, not a curated record.
UUUGUAUCUCUAUUCUGGACACUGUAUGUUCGACAAAGUUGAGAAAAAAUGACCCUGUGGAGUGGUUGACAUUUUGCCCUCGCGACAUAUACUGUGGUCAGGUUGCAAACUUUUGGCACUCAUUUGUAAGUUGUAACGUCUUUCAUGCCAAACCUAUUGGUGUUGGAGCCUAGGAGGACACUCAUUGGUGCUGGAAUCGUAAUUUGGGUGGCCAGGCAAUGAGAUGGCCUAGCCAUUGUGGUUAAAAUCCAGCUAAAGAGAUUGAGUGAUAGUUAUCUACUUUUUACUCAUUUAUUUGUUGUCCCAUGUUCUGUCUUUUUAUUUUCUCAUAAAAUCAAAUCUAUAGCUAAUUGCACGACCUUGGAAUUCAAUUUGUUAAGUUACCUUUGCUUCAAAUCAAUAUUAAUUCAUGAAGAUUGAACCACAGGAUAAAUUCCAUACUCUGUUUUGUUGGUAGUGAUACUGACCUCUUAAAUUUGUGUUAUUCAGUUUGCAAAUCUAAUUGUAGAGUUAUUUUAAGUAGGUCCCCAUAACUGGUCUAAAGACACCAUUUCGGGAUGGGUUGCUCAAGCAUGUUGCCCAAGAUGUCGUAAAGUUGGCAAAGGAUGGCCUGGAAAGAAGAGGCUUUAAGGAAUCUGGGUUCUUGAAUGAGGUGGCCGAGGUUGUCAGAACAGGU